This 253-nucleotide ribosomal RNA is filed under the name uncultured bacterium. Its description in RNAcentral is "partial 16S ribosomal RNA". It matches the Rfam family "Bacterial small subunit ribosomal RNA", at positions 524 to 776 of the family's 1533-position model. The record is from RNAcentral.
UACAGAAGGGUCAAGGGUUGUUCGGAUUCAUUGGGCGUAAAGGGUGCGUAGGUGGUUGGGUAAGUCAAAUGUGAAAUCCCGGAGCUCAACUCCGGAACUGCAUUCGAUACUGCCCGGCUCGAGGAUUGGAGAGGAGACUGGAAUUCACGGUGUAGCCGUGAAAUGCGUAGAGAUCGUGAGGAACACCCGUGGCGAAGGCGUGUCUCUGGACAAUUCCUGACACUGAGGCACGAAGGCCAGGGGAGCAAACGGG